This 490-nucleotide ribosomal RNA is filed under the name uncultured bacterium. RNAcentral's name for it is "partial 16S ribosomal RNA". It matches the Rfam family "Bacterial small subunit ribosomal RNA", at positions 30 to 507 of the family's 1533-position model. The record is from RNAcentral.
AUUGAACGCUGGCGGCAGGCCUAACACAUGCAAGUCGAACGGUAACAGGAAGAAGCUUGCUUCUUUGCUGACGAGUGGCGGACGGGUGAGUAAUGUCUGGGAAACUGCCUGAUGGAGGGGGAUAACUACUGGAAACGGUAGCUAAUACCGCAUAACGUCGCAAGACCAAAAAGGGGGACCUUCGGGCCUCUUGCCAUCGGAUGUGCCCAGAUGGGAUUAGCUAGUAGGUGGGGUAACGGCUCACCUAGGCGACGAUCCCUAGCUGGUCUGAGAGGAUGACCAGCCACACUGGAACUGAGACACGGUCCAGACUCCUACGGGAGGCAGCAGUGGGGAAUAUUGCACAAUGGGCGCAAGCCUGAUGCAGCCAUGCCGCGUGUACGAAGAAGGCCUUCGGGCUGUAAAGUACUUUCAGCGGGGAGGAAGGGAGUAAAGUUAAUACCUUUGCUCAUUGACGUUACCCGCAGAAGAAGCACCGGCUAACUCCGUG